AAGAAGAAGAAGAAGAAGAAAGAGAGAAUGAGUCUUUGGUGACGGAGGAGGACACGAUCGGGUGCAAUGGGGAGCUGGGGAAGGAGGAGGGCGAGGAGCGAACGGAAGUGAUAGGAGAGAUUGAGAAUUGGAUCAAAGACAUCGUGCGAUAGAGAGAAUUAAUUUGAGAGAGAAAAUGGUGGUGGAGAUUUCAAGGAGUUGCAGAGAGGACAGGGAGGAAGAAGGAAAAAGAAAU
This 235-nucleotide unclassified non-coding RNA is filed under the name Hevea brasiliensis (rubber tree). Lineage: Eukaryota; Viridiplantae; Streptophyta; Magnoliopsida; Malpighiales; Euphorbiaceae. The record is from RNAcentral.